Molecule: ribosomal RNA, 368 nt
Filed under: uncultured organism
Description: bacterial SSU rRNA
Rfam family: Bacterial small subunit ribosomal RNA
Source: RNAcentral
CGUAGGUGGCGAGCGUUGUCCGGAAUUACUGGGUUUAAAGGGUGCGUAGGCGGACUUUUAAGUCAGUGGUGAAAGCUGGUAGCUUAACUAUCAAAUUGCCAUUGAAACUGAAAGUCUCGAGUAUGGUUGAGGUGGCCGGAAUGUAUCAUGUAGCGGUGAAAUGCUUAGAUAUGAUACAGAACACCAAUUGCGAAGGCAGGUCACUAAACCAUAACUGACGCUGAGGCACGAAAGCGUGGGGAGCAAACAGGAUUAGAUACCCUGGUAGUCCACGCCCUAAACGUUGAUAACUCGCUGUUGGCGAUAUACAGUCAGCGGCUAAGCGAAAGCGGUAAGUUAUCCACCUGGGGAGUACGGUCGCAAGAUUG